This 271-nucleotide unclassified non-coding RNA is filed under the name uncultured Tremellales. RNAcentral's name for it is "sequence contains ITS1". The stretch from base 1 to 105 matches the Rfam family "5.8S ribosomal RNA", at positions 50 to 154 of the family's 154-position model. Lineage: Eukaryota; Fungi; Basidiomycota; Tremellomycetes; Tremellales. The record is from RNAcentral.
GAAAUGCGAUAAGUAAUGUGAAUUGCAGAAUUCAGUGAAUCAUCGAAUCUUUGAACGCAGAUUGCGCCCUUUGGUAUUCCGAAGGGCAUGCCUGUUUGAGUGUCUUAUAAACCUCACCUCUAUAGUUUUCUAUAGUUGUGCUUUGGGUGUUUGCCAGUACUGGCUCGCCUUAAAUGUCUAAGUGGAAUGCGUAAUAAGUUCUCGCAACCCUCCACUCUAAUACAAUUUAUAUUCUGACCUCAAAUCAGGUAGGACUACCCGCUGAACUUAA